GAUGAACGCUGGCGGCGUGCCUAAUACAUGCAAGUCGAGCGAACAGACGAGGAGCUUGCUCCUCUGACGUUAGCGGCGGACGGGUGAGUAACACGUGGGUAACCUACCUAUAAGACUGGGAUAACUUCGGGAAACCGGAGCUAAUACCGGAUAAUAUUUCGAACCGCAUGGUUCGAUAGUGAAAGAUGGCUCUGCUGUCACUUAUAGAUGGACCUGCGCCGUAUUAGCUAGUUGGUAAGGUAACGGCUUACCAAGGCAACGAUACGUAGCCGACCUGAGAGGGUGAUCGGCCACACUGGAACUGAGACACGGUCCAGACUCCUACGGGAGGCAGCAGUAGGGAAUCUUCCGCAAUGGGCGAAAGCCUGACGGAGCAACGCCGCGUGAGUGAUGAAGGUCUUCGGAUCGUAAAACUCUGUUAUUAGGGAAGAACAAACGUGUAAGUAACUGUGCACGUCUUGACGGUACCUAAUCAGAAAGCCACGGCUAACUACGUG
Molecule: ribosomal RNA, 497 nt
Filed under: uncultured bacterium
Lineage: Bacteria
Description: partial 16S ribosomal RNA
Rfam family: Bacterial small subunit ribosomal RNA
Source: RNAcentral